Molecule: ribosomal RNA, 468 nt
Filed under: uncultured bacterium
Lineage: Bacteria
Description: partial 16S ribosomal RNA
Rfam family: Bacterial small subunit ribosomal RNA
Source: RNAcentral
GACGAACGCUGGCGGCGUGCUUAACACAUGCAAGUCGAACGGAAAGGCCCUGCUUUUGUGGGGUGCUCGAGUGGCGAACGGGUGAGUAACACGUGAGUAACCUGCCCUUGACUUUGGGAUAACUUCAGGAAACUGGGGCUAAUACCGGAUAGGAGCUCCUGCUGCAUGGUGGGGGUUGGAAAGUUUCGGCGGUUGGGGAUGGACUCGCGGCUUAUCAGCUUGUUGGUGGGGCAGUGGCUUACCAAGGUGUGGACGGGUAGCCGGCCUGAGAGGGUGACCGGCCACAUUGGGACUGAGAUGCGGCCCAGACUCCUACGGGAGGCAGCAGUGGGGAAUAUUGCACAAUGGGCGGAAGCCUGAUGCAGCAACGCCGCGUGCGGGAUGACGGCCUUCGGGUUGUAAACCGCUUUCGCCUGUGACGAAGCGUGAGUGACGGUAAUGGGUAAAGAAGCACCGGCUAACUACGUG